Molecule: ribosomal RNA, 429 nt
Filed under: Chloroflexota bacterium
Lineage: Bacteria; Bacillati; Chloroflexota
Description: Chloroflexi bacterium partial 16S ribosomal RNA
Rfam family: Bacterial small subunit ribosomal RNA
Source: RNAcentral
UGGGGAAUAUUGCACAAUGGGCGCAAGCCUGAUGCAGCCAUGUCGCGUGUAUGAAGAAGGCCUUCGGGUUGUAAAGUACUUUCAGUCGGGAGGAAGGUGGUAAGGUUAAUAACCUUAUCAAUUGACGUUACCCGCAGAAGAAGCACCGGCUAACUCCGUGCCAGCAGCCGCGGUAAUACGGAGGGUGCAAGCGUUAAUCGGAAUUACUGGGCGUAAAGCGCACGCAGGCGGUUUGUUAAGUCAGAUGUGAAAUCCCCGGGCUCAACCUGGGAACUGCAUCUGAUACUGGCAAGCUUGAGUCUCGUAGAGGGGGGUAGAAUUCCAGGUGUAGCGGUGAAAUGCGUAAAGAUCUGGAGGAAUACCGGUGGCGAAGGCGGCCCCCUGGACAAAGACUGACGCUCAGGUGCGAAAGCGUGGGGAGCAAACAGG